This is a long non-coding RNA of Etheostoma cragini (Arkansas darter), 156 nucleotides long. RefSeq lists it as uncharacterized. The record is from RefSeq and is a predicted model, not a curated record. Lineage: Eukaryota; Metazoa; Chordata; Actinopteri; Perciformes; Percidae. The transcript has 3 exons.
AUCCUACACUGUAAUGGGCCGGGCACACACCGUUCCUCUGGCGACUUCCAUAGAUCUUGGUCAUGGAGCCAACACCAGCACCUCCACGAAGGUACAGGUGGCGGACUGUGGAUGCUGUAGGGGUAGAAGAGAUGAGGGUCGUGUAGGGAGAGAGUG